This 551-nucleotide ribosomal RNA is filed under the name Diaporthe sp. AX91. RNAcentral's name for it is "eukaryotic LSU rRNA". The stretch from base 223 to 376 matches the Rfam family "5.8S ribosomal RNA". Lineage: Eukaryota; Fungi; Ascomycota; Sordariomycetes; Diaporthales; Diaporthaceae. The record is from RNAcentral.
UCGUAACAAGGUCUCCGUUGGUGAACCAGCGGAGGGAUCAUUGCUGGAACGCGCCCCUGGCGCACCCAGAAACCCUUUGUGAACUUAUACCUUACUGUUGCCUCGGCGCAGGCCGGCCCCCCCCAGGGGGGCCCCUCGGAGACGAGGAGCAGGCCCGCCGGCGGCCUAGUUAACUCUUGUUUUUACACUGAAACUCUGAGAAACAAAACAUAAAUGAAUCAAAACUUUCAACAACGGAUCUCUUGGUUCUGGCAUCGAUGAAGAACGCAGCGAAAUGCGAUAAGUAAUGUGAAUUGCAGAAUUCAGUGAAUCAUCGAAUCUUUGAACGCACAUUGCGCCCUCUGGUAUUCCGGAGGGCAUGCCUGUUCGAGCGUCAUUUCAACCCUCAAGCCUGGCUUGGUGAUGGGGCACUGCCUGUAAAAGGGCAGGCCCUGAAAUUCAGUGGCGAGCUCGCCAGGACCCCGAGCGCAGUAGUUAAACCCUCGCUCUGGAAGGCCCUGGCGGUGCCCUGCCGUUAAACCCCCAACUUCUGAAAAUUGACCUCGGAUCAG